UACGUAGGGUGCAAGCGUUAAUCGGAAUUACUGGGCGUAAAGCGUGCGCAGGCGGCUUUGCAAGACAGAUGUGAAAUCCCCGGGCUUAACCUGGGAACUGCAUUUGUGACUGCAGGGCUGGAGUGCGGCAGAGGGGGAUGGAAUUCCGCGUGUAGCAGUGAAAUGCAUUGAGAUCGGAAAGAACACCAACGGCGAAAGCACUCUGCUGGGCCGACACUGACACUGAGAGACGAAAGCUAGGGGAGCAAAUGGG
This 253-nucleotide ribosomal RNA is filed under the name uncultured bacterium. Its description in RNAcentral is "partial 16S ribosomal RNA". It matches the Rfam family "Bacterial small subunit ribosomal RNA", at positions 524 to 776 of the family's 1533-position model. The record is from RNAcentral.